UACGAAGGGGGCUAGCGUUGCUCGGAAUCACUGGGCGUAAAGCGCACGUAGGCGGCUUUUUAAGUCAGGGGUGAAAUCCUGGAGCUCAACUCCAGAACUGCCUUUGAUACUGAGAAGCUUGAGUCCGGGAGAGGUGAGUGGAACUGCGAGUGUAGAGGUGAAAUUCGUAGAUAUCUGGAGGAACACCGGUGGCGAAGGCGGCAUCCUGGACCAACACUGACGCUGAGUGAGCGAAAGCCAGGGGAGCAAACGGG
This 254-nucleotide ribosomal RNA is filed under the name uncultured bacterium. RNAcentral describes it as "partial 16S ribosomal RNA". It matches the Rfam family "Bacterial small subunit ribosomal RNA", at positions 524 to 776 of the family's 1533-position model. The record is from RNAcentral.